This 254-nucleotide ribosomal RNA is filed under the name uncultured bacterium. RNAcentral's name for it is "partial 16S ribosomal RNA". It matches the Rfam family "Bacterial small subunit ribosomal RNA", at positions 524 to 776 of the family's 1533-position model. The record is from RNAcentral.
UACGGAGGGUGCAAGCAUUAAUCGGAAUUAUUGGGCGUAAAGGGCGCGUAGGCGGGUAAGUAAGUCAGAUGUGAAAUUCCGGGACUCAAUUCCGGAGCUGCAUUUGAAACUGCUUGUCUUGAGGAUUGGCGGAGAGAACGGAAUUCCACGUGUAGCGGUGAAAUGCGUAGAUAUGUGGAAGAACACCGGUGGCGAAAGCGGUUCUCUAGCUAAUAACUGACGCUGAGGCGACGAGAGCAAGGGGAUCAAACAGG